AUUGAACGCUGGCGGAAUGCUUUACACAUGCAAGUCGAACGUGAAAGCGGGGCAACCCGCAAGUAGAGUGGCGGACGGGUGAGUAAUACAUCGGAACGUGUCCAGUAAUGGGGGAUAACCUAGCGAAAGUUAGGCUAAUACCGCAUACGAUCUGCGGAUGAAAGCGGGGGAUGCGGCACUAAAGGCUUUUGGCGAAGGUGGCCAAAGGUGAGUCAAGAGCUUUUAGUGCUGCACCUCGCGUUAUUGGAGCGGCUGAUGUCUGAUUAGCUAGUUGGUGAGGUAAAGGCUUACCAAGGCGACGAUCAGUAGCUGGUCUGAGAGGACGGCCAGCCACACUGGGACUGAGACA
This 349-nucleotide ribosomal RNA is filed under the name uncultured bacterium. Its description in RNAcentral is "bacterial SSU rRNA". It matches the Rfam family "Bacterial small subunit ribosomal RNA", at positions 30 to 326 of the family's 1533-position model. The record is from RNAcentral.